GACGAACGCUGGCGGCGUGCCUAAUACAUGCAAGUCGAGCGGACCGAAUAGAAGCUUGCUUCUAUUUGGUUAGCGGCGGACGGGUGAGUAACACGUGGGCAACCUGCCCUGUAGACGGGGAUAACACCGAGAAAUCGGUGCUAAUACCGGAUAACACGGAAUGUCGCAUGACGUUUCGUUGAAAGGCGGCGCAAGCUGUCGCUACAGGAUGGGCCCGCGGCGCAUUAACUAGUUGGUGAGGUAACGGCUCACCAAGGCGACGAUGCGUAGCCGACCUGAGAGGGUGAUCGGCCACACUGGGACUGAGACACGGCCCAG
RNAcentral lists this ribosomal RNA (318 nucleotides) under uncultured Anoxybacillus sp. RNAcentral describes it as "bacterial SSU rRNA". It matches the Rfam family "Bacterial small subunit ribosomal RNA", at positions 28 to 334 of the family's 1533-position model. The record is from RNAcentral. Lineage: Bacteria; Bacillati; Bacillota; Bacilli; Caryophanales; Anoxybacillaceae.